AAUGAACGCUGGCGGCGUGCCUAAUACAUGCAAGUCGAACGGACAGACGAGGGGUUUGUCCUUUAUACGAUUGCGGCGCGCGGGUGAGUAAUAUGUCUAACACCCACCUUAAUGAGGGGGAAAACUUCGGGACAACGGCGAUAAUACCAGACAACAUAUUGAACCGCAUGGAUCCGUAGAGAAUGACGGUUUUGCGGUAGGUUUUAGAUGGAUCAGCGAGGUAUUAGGUGGUUGGUAUGGUAACGCCUUACCAAGGAACCGAUGCGAAGCCGACCUAAGAGUGUGACCGGCCACUCGGGAACUGGGACGCGGACCCGACUCCUACGUGAGGCAGCAGUCGGGAAUCUUCGGCAAUGGGCGGAAGCGUGUCGUAGUAACGCCGCGUGAGUGAUGAAGGUCUUCGGCUCGUAAAGCACUAUAAUUAGGGGAGAACAAAUGUCUGUUUAUCUAUACACGUCAUGACGGUACCUAAUCAAUAAGCACCGGCUAACUCCGUG
RNAcentral lists this ribosomal RNA (497 nucleotides) under uncultured bacterium. RNAcentral describes it as "partial 16S ribosomal RNA". It matches the Rfam family "Bacterial small subunit ribosomal RNA", at positions 29 to 507 of the family's 1533-position model. The record is from RNAcentral.